Molecule: long non-coding RNA, 697 nt
Organism: Rhineura floridana
Lineage: Eukaryota; Metazoa; Chordata; Lepidosauria; Squamata; Rhineuridae
Exons: 3
Source: RefSeq, a predicted model, not a curated record
AGUAAACUUAUUUUUAGCAGCGAAGCAAACUCCUACAGUUGAAGUUUUAAAUCUGUUGGCAUUGACAUAUGGGGGGGGGGAGAGAGCGCGAGCGAGCGAGCGCGAGAGAGAGAGACGCUGCAAAAAAAAAGUUUGUUAAAAGUUUGUACCAGUGUAUGAAAACUAGCAGGCAAGUCCCACAUCAAGAGCAGCCCUUCCGGCUUGAAGGCAGAUUUCAGUCUUGAAUUACCUGUCGUCAACUACUGACAAACCCACAGGCAUACACAGGAUCUGAACAAUAGAGGCACAAAUCCAUCCUGUUUAACAUUUGUAAUGAAUUCCAAGCUAUUCCAUAUACGGUUUCAGCCCAGUUUAUCUGAAGGAGCACCUCCAGCAUCACCAAUUAUGCCGCCCGACAAGAUCAGCCACGCAGGGCCUUCUCUCAAUCCCACCAACAACAGUAGCUAGGUUGGUGGGGACUAGAGAGAGGGUUUUUUCAGUAGCGGCCCCCACUCUCUGGAAUUCCCUCCCAUUCGAUCUUCGGCAUGCCCCUUCCCUGGAUACUUUCCUCCGAGCCUUAAAAACUUGGCUGUUUGGACAGGCCUUUGGGACCGCUGGGGUGGGCUAAUUUACAUAUUGAAUGCCUGUUGUUAUGUACUGCAUAUGUUGUUAUUUUUGUUAUUGCUGAGUAUAUCAUAUUUUAUUGUAUUUACUGUAU